CCGUGUCCGACCCCAUGUAACUCUCUGACUUGGGUCACACGGCCAACCACACGCUCGUGCAACCAGCCCGUGUGCCCUUAGAAAUGCCACACAUACCCAUGUUCCAGGCCAUGUGAUAGGCCAUGCCAAAACUGUAGGGUAUAUUGACUUAUGCUACACGGCCAAGUUACAUGCCAGUGUGCUGGGCCGUGUAGAGCAUACUGACUUGGUUUCUAAUUAAACACCAGGUGACACACGACCGUGUCACUUGACCGAGUGUCACAUACGGUUGAGACACAUGCCCGUGCGAC
Molecule: long non-coding RNA, 290 nt
Filed under: Gossypium barbadense (sea-island cotton)
Lineage: Eukaryota; Viridiplantae; Streptophyta; Magnoliopsida; Malvales; Malvaceae
Description: long non-coding RNA (GBAR_LNC012574)
Source: RNAcentral